Molecule: ribosomal RNA, 492 nt
Filed under: uncultured bacterium
Lineage: Bacteria
Description: partial 16S ribosomal RNA
Rfam family: Bacterial small subunit ribosomal RNA
Source: RNAcentral
AGUGAACGCUGGCGGUAGGCCUAACACAUGCAAGUCGAACGGCAGCACAGUAAGAGCUUGCUCUUACGGGUGGCGAGUGGCGGACGGGUGAGGAAUACAUCGGAAUCUACUUUUUCGUGGGGGAUAACGUAGGGAAACUUACGCUAAUACCGCAUACGACCUACGGGUGAAAGAAGGGGAUCUUCGGACCUUGCGCGAUUGAAUGAGCCGAUGUCGGAUUAGCUAGUUGGCGGGGUAAAGGCCCACCAAGGCGACGAUCCGUAGCUGGUCUGAGAGGAUGAUCAGCCACCCUGGAACUGAGACACGGUCGAGACUACUCCGGGAGGCAGCAGAUAGGAAUAUUGGCCAACAGGCGCAAGACUGAUCCAGCCAUACCGCGUGGGUGCAGAAGGUCUUCGGGUGGUAAAGUCCUUUUGUUAGGAAAGAAAAGCAGCCGGUUAAUACCCCGCUGUUUUGACGGUACCCCCAGCAUCAGAACCGGCUAACUUCGUG